RNAcentral lists this ribosomal RNA (496 nucleotides) under uncultured bacterium. Its description in RNAcentral is "partial 16S ribosomal RNA". It matches the Rfam family "Bacterial small subunit ribosomal RNA", at positions 28 to 507 of the family's 1533-position model. The record is from RNAcentral.
GAUGAACGCUGGCGGCGUGCCUAAUACAUGCAAGUCGAGCGAACGGACGAGAAGCUUGCUUCUCUGAUGUUAGCGGCGGACGGGUGAGUAACACGUGGAUAACCUACCUAUAAGACUGGGAUAACUUCGGGAAACCGUAGCUAAUACCGGAUAAUACUUUGAACCGCAUGGUUCAAAAGUGAAAGACGGUCUUGCUGUCACUUAUAGAUGGAUCCGCGCUGCAUUAGCUAGUUGGUAAGGUAACGGCUUCCAAGGCAACGAUGCAUAGCCGACCUGAGAGGGUGAUCGGCCACACUGGAACUGAGACACGGUCCAGACUCCUACGGGAGGCAGCAGUAGGGAAUCUUCCGCAAUGGGCGAAAGCCUGACGGAGCAACGCCGCGUGAGUGAUGAAGGUCUUCGGAUCGUAAAACUCUGUUAUUAGGGAAGAACAUAUGUGUAAGUAACUGUGCACAUCUUGACGGUACCUAAUCAGAAAGCCACGGCUAACUACGUG